GUUUGCUGUUGGCCAAAACCAGGCUUUGAUUGGACCAGGAUGAAUCUGGGUGUGGGAAAUAGAAUAUAUAUGUAAUUGGUUGAGCCACGUGUGCCAGUGUGUUGUCAGCUUGAUCUUUGCUUGAUUCAUUCUGCCUUGUAACAGAAAUUGGUGGUGGAAUAUGAGAGGAGGCUCUGGAAAGAAAAGGACAGACCUGUGCUUCCAUGAAAGUGAAGAGCUGGCUGAACCAGUUCGACAAGAUUGUUGUGGACAUAGCUGUGCCCACUUGGAAGAGUCAUUGUUAGAUCUUGGGGAAAUUUCUAACUUUUUAAGAAAAUAAAAUCUUUGAAGUAAAAA
This is a long non-coding RNA of Saimiri boliviensis boliviensis (Bolivian squirrel monkey), 336 nucleotides long. RefSeq lists it as uncharacterized. The record is from RefSeq and is a predicted model, not a curated record. Lineage: Eukaryota; Metazoa; Chordata; Mammalia; Primates; Cebidae.